AUCAUUCUGUGAUUUAUAAGCAUGAUGACUGGGUUUUCACGCUCAUGUGGGAGACGUGCCUUCCUCAAACCUUGUUACAUCAUUGGCACAUUAAACAACUGAUG
This is a small nucleolar RNA of Cebus imitator (Panamanian white-faced capuchin), 104 nucleotides long. RefSeq annotates it as small nucleolar RNA U13. The transcript has a single exon. The record is from RefSeq and is a predicted model, not a curated record. NCBI's taxonomy places the organism in Eukaryota, Metazoa, Chordata, Mammalia, Primates, Cebidae.